UCGUCAUUUCAUAUUUGAAUGGCAGGUGGUAGUCUGCUUAAGUUUUCCUUUUACUCUCACAGGGCAAAGACAUGUACACUGCCAACAUGCAUGCUAUUGCCACAAUCCUCUAGCCUACUCUCCAGAUAAUGCUUUCAUGAAGGAUGCCCUUGUGUUCCCUGCAUGAACACAAGCCACCGGCCCAGAUCAUUAUCUGUUAUGUGUACUGAAGCCACUCUGAAGAGAGAUCCUCCUUCUAGUCUCCCUGUAUAGUAUCAAAGCCUGGUUUUGGAGAUGACCAGCACAGAGACAUCUUUAGGUCCACAGCUAAGAAACGAUUGCCAUGUUCCUAUGGCAUAUAACGUCGAGAGUAUGCCCUCUACACCGUGCUGAACACUCCAUUUAAUUUCCCUCAGAUGAGCUUUUCUAUUUUCUUCAUUAAAAGCUUGACAUUCCUGCGAUCAGAUUGGUGAGCAGUUUGAGACAGAGAGGUAUGUGUACUAAUUUCUGAACAUCUUAGUUUGUUUCAUUCUUGAAGUCCCUUCCUUGUCAGUGGAAAUAACUGACCAAACUGAGGCAACACAGCACAGAUGAAAAAUGCAAUAAAUCAUCAGCAUAGUCAUAAGGCAUCAAUCAAUCAUGCCUUGUCAUUGUUUUCAUAAUCACCUCAGUAAAA
Sinocyclocheilus grahami is the source of this 655-nucleotide long non-coding RNA. RefSeq lists it as uncharacterized. Lineage: Eukaryota; Metazoa; Chordata; Actinopteri; Cypriniformes; Cyprinidae. The record is from RefSeq and is a predicted model, not a curated record. The transcript has 4 exons.